Molecule: ribosomal RNA, 161 nt
Filed under: Heterospilus sp. MAS-2010
Lineage: Eukaryota; Metazoa; Arthropoda; Insecta; Hymenoptera; Braconidae
Description: partial 28S ribosomal RNA
Source: RNAcentral
CAUCGUCAGCUCAUUUUGUAUAUGUAUGANAUUAUGAUGCGAGUUACUCUNUGUAGUAUUGCUUGUACAUAUUUAUGCAUUUAUUUGCAAGAUGUUGUCGGCGUGCACUUCUCCCCUAGUAGGACGUCGCGACCCGUUGGGUGUCGGUCUACGACCCAGGU